AGAUUAGCUUGCUUUAGUUGUCAGCUAAGUGGCGCACGGGUGAGUAAUGUAUAGAUAACCUGCCCUUAAGAAAGGAAUAACAGUUGGAAACGACUGCUAAUGCCCUAUAUGCCUUUAAUACAUAAGUAUGCAAGGGAAACGCUUUAGUGCUUAAGGAUGGGUCUGUAUGGUAUCAGCUUGUUGGUGAGGUAAUGGCUCACCAAGGCUAUGACGCCUAACUGGUUUGAGAGGAUGAUCAGUCACACUGGAACUGAGGCACGGUCCAGACUCCUACGGGAGGCAGCAGUGGGGAAUAUUGCACAAUGGACGAAAGUCUGAUGCAGCAACGCCGCGUGGAGGAUGACACAUUUCGGUGCGUAAACUCCUUUUAUAUAGGAAGAUAAUGACGGUACUAUAUGAAUAAGCACCGGCUAACUCCGUGCCAGCAGCCGCGGUAAUACGGAGGGUGCAAGCGUUACUCGGAAUCACUGGGCGUAAAGAGCGUGUAGGCGGGUAUAUAAGUCAGAAGUGAAAUCCUAUAGCUUAACUAUAGAACUGCUUUUGAAACUGUAUACCUAGAAUGUGGGAGAGGUAGAUGGAAUUUCUGGUGUAGGGGUAAAAU
This 601-nucleotide ribosomal RNA is filed under the name uncultured Arcobacter sp. RNAcentral's name for it is "bacterial SSU rRNA". It matches the Rfam family "Bacterial small subunit ribosomal RNA", at positions 69 to 687 of the family's 1533-position model. Lineage: Bacteria; Pseudomonadati; Campylobacterota; Epsilonproteobacteria; Campylobacterales; Arcobacteraceae. The record is from RNAcentral.